This 20-nucleotide ribosomal RNA is filed under the name Hypopterygium tamarisci. RNAcentral describes it as "partial 18S ribosomal RNA". Lineage: Eukaryota; Viridiplantae; Streptophyta; Bryopsida; Hookeriales; Hypopterygiaceae. The record is from RNAcentral.
GAAGGAUCAUUGCACACACA